Molecule: ribosomal RNA, 2776 nt
Rfam family: Bacterial large subunit ribosomal RNA
AGCGCAUACGGUGGAUGCCUUGGCAGUCAGAGGCGAUGAAAGACGUGGUAGCCUGCGAAAAGCUUCGGGGAGUCGGCAAACAGACUGUGAUCCGGAGAUGUCUGAAUGGGGGAACCCAGCCAUCAUAAGAUGGUUAUCUUACACUGAAUACAUAGGUGUAAGAGGCGAACCAGGGGAACUGAAACAUCUAAGUACCCUGAGGAAAAGAAAUCAACCGAGAUUCCCUUAGUAGUGGCGAGCGAACGGGGACCAGCCCUUAAGUUGUAUUGAGAUUAGCGGAACGCUCUGGAAAGGGCGGCCAUAGUGGGUGAUAGCCCUGUACGCGAAAAUCCCUUUGCAAUGAAAUCGAGUAGGACGGGGCACGAGAAACCUUGUCUGAAUAUGGGGGGACCAUCCUCCAAGGCUAAAUACUACUGACUGACCGAUAGUGAACCAGUACCGUGAGGGAAAGGCGAAAAGAACCGCGGAGAGCGGAGUGAAAUAGAUCCUGAAACCGUAUGCGUACAAGCAGUGGGAGCCCACGUUGUUGGGUGACUGCGUACCUUUUGUAUAAUGGGUCAGCGACUUAUUUUCAGUGGCGAGCUUAACCGAAUAGGGGAGGCGUAGCGAAAGCGAGUCUUAAUAGGGCGUCUAGUCGCUGGGAAUAGACCCGAAACCGGGCGAUCUAUCCAUGGGCAGGUUGAAGGUUGGGUAACACUAACUGGAGGACCGAACCGACUACCGUUGAAAAGUUAGCGGAUGACCUGUGGAUCGGAGUGAAAGGCUAAUCAAGCUCGGAGAUAGCUGGUUCUCCUCGAAAGCUAUUUAGGUAGCGCCUCAUGUAUCACUGUAGGGGGUAGAGCACUGUUUCGGCUAGGGGGUCAUCCCGACUUACCAAACCGAUGCAAACUCCGAAUACCUACAAGUGCCGAGCAUGGGAGACACACGGCGGGUGCUAACGUCCGUCGUGAAAAGGGAAACAACCCAGACCGUCAGCUAAGGUCCCAAAGUCAUGGUUAAGUGGGAAACGAUGUGGGAAGGCUUAGACAGCUAGGAGGUUGGCUUAGAAGCAGCCACCCUUUAAAGAAAGCGUAAUAGCUCACUAGUCGAGUCGGCCUGCGCGGAAGAUGUAACGGGGCUCAAACCAUGCACCGAAGCUACGGGUAUCACCUUUGGUGAUGCGGUAGAGGAGCGUUCUGUAAGCCUGUGAAGGUGAGUUGAGAAGCUUGCUGGAGGUAUCAGAAGUGCGAAUGCUGACAUGAGUAACGACAAUGGGUGUGAAAAACACCCACGCCGAAAGACCAAGGUUUCCUGCGCAACGUUAAUCGACGCAGGGUUAGUCGGUCCCUAAGGCGAGGCUGAAAAGCGUAGUCGAUGGAAAACAGGUUAAUAUUCCUGUACUUCUGGUUAUUGCGAUGGAGGGACGGAGAAGGCUAGGCCAGCCUGGCGUUGGUAGUCCAGGUUUAAGGUGGUAGGCUGAGAUCUUAGGUAAAUCCGGGAUCUUAAGGCCGAGAGCUGAUGACGAGUGUUCUUUUAGAACAUGAAGUGGUUGAUGCCAUGCUUCCAAGAAAAGCUUCUAAGCUUCAGGUAACCAGGAACCGUACCCCAAACCGACACAGGUGGUUGGGUAGAGAAUACCAAGGCGCUUGAGAGAACUCGGGUGAAGGAACUAGGCAAAAUGGCACCGUAACUUCGGGAGAAGGUGCGCCGGUGAGGGUGAAGCAUUUACUGCGUAAGCCCACGCCGGUCGAAGAUACCAGGCCGCUGCGACUGUUUAUUAAAAACACAGCACUCUGCAAACACGAAAGUGGACGUAUAGGGUGUGACGCCUGCCCGGUGCCGGAAGGUUAAUUGAUGGGGUUAGCGCAAGCGAAGCUCUUGAUCGAAGCCCCGGUAAACGGCGGCCGUAACUAUAACGGUCCUAAGGUAGCGAAAUUCCUUGUCGGGUAAGUUCCGACCUGCACGAAUGGCGUAACGAUGGCGGCGCUGUCUCCACCCGAGACUCAGUGAAAUUGAAAUCGCUGUGAAGAUGCAGUGUAUCCGCGGCUAGACGGAAAGACCCCGUGAACCUUUACUAUAGCUUUGCACUGGACUUUGAAUUUGCUUGUGUAGGAUAGGUGGGAGGCUUUGAAGCGUGGACGCCAGUCUGCGUGGAGCCAACCUUGAAAUACCACCCUGGCAACUUUGAGGUUCUAACUCAGGUCCGUUAUCCGGAUCGAGGACAGUGUAUGGUGGGUAGUUUGACUGGGGCGGUCUCCUCCUAAAGAGUAACGGAGGAGUACGAAGGUGCGCUCAGACCGGUCGGAAAUCGGUCGUAGAGUAUAAAGGCAAAAGCGCGCUUGACUGCGAGACAGACACGUCGAGCAGGUACGAAAGUAGGUCUUAGUGAUCCGGUGGUUCUGUAUGGAAGGGCCAUCGCUCAACGGAUAAAAGGUACUCCGGGGAUAACAGGCUGAUACCGCCCAAGAGUUCAUAUCGACGGCGGUGUUUGGCACCUCGAUGUCGGCUCAUCACAUCCUGGGGCUGAAGCCGGUCCCAAGGGUAUGGCUGUUCGCCAUUUAAAGUGGUACGCGAGCUGGGUUUAGAACGUCGUGAGACAGUUCGGUCCCUAUCUGCCGUGGACGUUUGAGAUUUGAGAGGGGCUGCUCCUAGUACGAGAGGACCGGAGUGGACGAACCUCUGGUGUUCCGGUUGUCACGCCAGUGGCAUUGCCGGGUAGCUAUGUUCGGAAAAGAUAACCGCUGAAAGCAUCUAAGCGGGAAACUUGCCUCAAGAUGAGAUCUCACUGGAACCUUGA